Molecule: ribosomal RNA, 252 nt
Filed under: uncultured bacterium
Lineage: Bacteria
Description: partial 16S ribosomal RNA
Rfam family: Bacterial small subunit ribosomal RNA
Source: RNAcentral
UACGUAGGGAGCAAGCGUUGUCCGGAAUUACUGGGUGUAAAGGGAGCGUAGGCGGGAUGGCAAGUUGGGUGUUAAAUCUACCGGCUCAACUGGUAGUCGCACUCAAAACUGCUAUUCUUGAGUGAAGUAGAGGCAGGCGGAAUUCCUAGUGUAGCGGUGAAACGCGUAGAUAUUAGGAGGAACACCAGUGGCGAAGGCGGCCUGCUGGGCUUUUACUGACGCUGAGGCUCGAAAGUGUGGGGAGCAAACAGG